GGGGAAUUAGCUCAGUGGUAGAGCGUUUGCUUAGCAUGUAAGAGGUCAUGGGUUCGAUACCCAUAUUCUCCA
This 72-nucleotide transfer RNA is filed under the name Nosema granulosis. It matches the Rfam family "tRNA". Rfam says of the family: Transfer RNA (tRNA) molecules are approximately 80 nucleotides in length. Their secondary structure includes four short double-helical elements and three loops (D, anti-codon, and T loops). The record is from Rfam by way of RNAcentral. Lineage: Eukaryota; Fungi; Microsporidia; Nosematidae. RNAcentral also lists the same sequence under 1 other name.